RNAcentral lists this transfer RNA (73 nucleotides) under Reichenbachiella faecimaris. It matches the Rfam family "tRNA". Rfam says of the family: Transfer RNA (tRNA) molecules are approximately 80 nucleotides in length. Their secondary structure includes four short double-helical elements and three loops (D, anti-codon, and T loops). Lineage: Bacteria; Pseudomonadati; Bacteroidota; Cytophagia; Cytophagales; Reichenbachiellaceae. The record is from Rfam by way of RNAcentral. RNAcentral also lists the same sequence under 1 other name.
GAUUCGUUAGCUCAGCUGGUAGAGCAACGCCCUUUUAAGGCGUGGGUCCUGGGUUCGAGCCCCAGACGAAUCA